This 459-nucleotide ribosomal RNA is filed under the name uncultured bacterium. RNAcentral describes it as "partial 16S ribosomal RNA". It matches the Rfam family "Bacterial small subunit ribosomal RNA", at positions 338 to 795 of the family's 1533-position model. The record is from RNAcentral.
CCUACGGGUGGCAGCAGUGAGGAAUAUUGGUCAAUGGGAGAGAUCCUGAACCAGCCAAGCCGCGUGAGGGAAGACGGCCCUAUGGGUUGUAAACCUCUUUUGUCGGAGAACAAAACCCGGGACGAGUCCCGGACAGCGUGUAUCCGACGAAAAAGCAUCGGCUAACUCCGUGCACGCAGCCGCGGUAAUACGGAGGAUGCGAGCGUUAUCCGGAUUUAUUGGGUUAAAAGGGUGCGUAGGCGGUCUGUUAUGUAAGCGGUAAAAUUGCGGGGCUAAACCCCGGCGAGCCGUUGAAACUGGCAGACUUGAGUGGGCGAGAAGUACGCGGAAUGCGCGGUGUAGCGGUGAAAUGCAUAGAUAUCGCGCAGAACUACGAUUGCGAAGGCAGCGUACCGGCGCCAGACUGACGCUGAGGCACGAAAGCGUGGGGAUCGAACAGGAUUAGAUACCCCAGUAGUC